This is a long non-coding RNA of Dermacentor andersoni, 361 nucleotides long. RefSeq lists it as uncharacterized. The record is from RefSeq and is a predicted model, not a curated record. NCBI's taxonomy places the organism in Eukaryota, Metazoa, Arthropoda, Arachnida, Ixodida, Ixodidae.
GCGAUUCUUCGAGGCUCAUUCCGCACACCACGCACGCCAGGUACAUCACCAUGGGCUACGUCACGAGCCAAGGGCGCAAUUGCAGAGACACAGCGUCUUGCAGGUGCAUCCUUGCCGGUUCGUAGCCGAGUGCGAGUAUACCAAGCCGUCCCAAGCGGUCAGCAUGCGUGCGAGGCUCCCGUUGCGAGCGGCCGUGGUGCGGCGCCACUGCGCCAUUCCCGUCAACCGGCUCCGAUCGAGAAGCAAGCGGGAAGUGGUGGGAGCGCCUGCUACGAACUGCAAUUUCUCGCUUCAUUAUGCUACUCAUCUCACUUGCUGGAUAUUUGUUUACUGCUACAGCACAACAUGGUAACAUACACUA